RNAcentral lists this ribosomal RNA (253 nucleotides) under uncultured bacterium. Its description in RNAcentral is "partial 16S ribosomal RNA". It matches the Rfam family "Bacterial small subunit ribosomal RNA", at positions 524 to 776 of the family's 1533-position model. The record is from RNAcentral.
UACGAAGGGGGCUAGCGUUGCUCGGAAUCACUGGGCGUAAAGCGCACGUAGGCGGUUUCUUAAGUCAGGGGUGAAAUCCUGGAGCUCAACUCCAGAACUGCCUUUGAUACUGGGAGACUUGAGUUCGGGAGAGGUGAGUGGAACUGCGAGUGUAGAGGUGAAAUUCGUAGAUAUUCGCAAGAACACCAGUGGCGAAGGCGGCUCACUGGCCCGAUACUGACGCUGAGGUGCGAAAGCGUGGGGAGCAAACAGG